Molecule: ribosomal RNA, 253 nt
Filed under: uncultured bacterium
Lineage: Bacteria
Description: partial 16S ribosomal RNA
Rfam family: Bacterial small subunit ribosomal RNA
Source: RNAcentral
AACGUAGGUUCCGAGCGUUAUCCGGAUUUACUGGGCGUAAAGCGCGUUCAGGCGGUUUGGCAAGUCGGGCAUGAAAUCUCUCGGCUCAACCGGGAGAGGUUGUCCGAUACUUCCAGACUUGAGGGCAGUAGAGGGUGGUGGAAUUCCGGAUGUAGUGGUGAAAUGCGUAGAUAUCCGGAGGAACACCAGUGGCGAAAGCGGCCACCUGGACUGCACCUGACGCUGACACGCGAAAGCUAGGGGAGCGAACAGG